CACUCUUUUCGUCAAGUUUUUCAAAAAGUUCAAACGACUCGCGAUCGCGUAACAAGUGUUAUUAGACACUUUAUUAGUUCAGCUCAUAGAGCUUUAGAGAUUUUAAAAAGUGUGCGGUUAUAAGAUUAUCUUUGUUAUCAGCCGAAAACAUGGAAUGGCUCAAGGGAAGAAACAUUGAACAAUUUAACGGCAGCCGGUAUGGAGCAUGGAAAAUCCGCAUAAAAUCUCUUCUAGAGGAACUCCAAGUAUUGUUUGUAAUAGAAGAGCCUCCGCCAGCAUACCCGGACGCCGUGUGGUCUGCUAAAAAUUCUGUUGCAAAGUGUACAAUCGUAAAUUUUUUGGGCGACGCGUUUUUACAUGUUGCUGAAGGCAGCUGUACCGCGAAAUCUAUCAUAGACCGCUUGGACAAGUUAUAUGAAAAGCGAACCUUGUGCGCGCAAUUAUCUUUACGACAGCAAUUAUUUAGUUUGAAAUUGCAGCCAAACGUAAGCCUUUUGCAGCAUUUUACAACAUUUGAUACAUUAAUAGCCAAACUGUUAGUUUCGGGCGCAAAUUUGGACGAAAUGGAUAAAAUUUGCUAUCUGUUAUUGACACUACCAGUCUCUUAUGGCGAAACUAUUUCUAAAAUAGGACUUCUUAAUGAAGAUCAAUUUAAUCUGGCGUUUAUAAAGACUGUCCUGCUGGAUCAUGAAGCCAAAAUGGAAAUGGAAGCUAUUAAGAGGUUGAAAGAAUCAACUGUUCCUAACAAUAAAAGACCGGCAAACAAUUACGGUAACGGUCCUGGUCCUAAUAAACGUAGGAAGUAUAACAAUUAUAAUCAAAAUAGAAACUAUUAUAAUUCUCAAAUGUAUUGUAAUUACUGUGGUAGAAAUAAUCAUUAUAUACAAAAUUGUCGCUAUUACAAUGGACAAAUGAAUGGCUACAACAUGCACCCGAACCAGAACCGGAGAGUUCCCAUUAACGGGUACAAAGGACAUGACUUCCCAAUGAUGUUCUCCGCAAUUUGCUCCUAAAGGUAAGGGGCAGAACAACAAUAACAACAACAACAACCCACGUCCGUCUGCAAAUAUAACCAUCAAACAAGAACCAAUAACGAUAAAGCAGGAACCCGUAGAGAUAAAACAGGAACCUGUAGCUAUAAAGAAGGAACCCACAUGGGAAGAACAUCUACAGCGAGUUGUUAAGAAAGAACCAGAAGAUAGGCCGGUGAUGGAUUCAGAAACAGCAAAUGUGUCGACGAGUUCUAAAAGGAGUCGUAGGAGGCGGAGAACAAGGGCUAGUAUUAUUGCAAUGCACAUACAAGCAGACAACGCUGGGCAGAUAUGUGGGAACCAGCAGGCUACUACCAGUGUCCAAAAUUAAGGACAUAUUCUAACUGUCCAGCGUAAGAUAAUACGUUCCUUUUUAAAGAUCUCGUACUUAUUUUUAGUGCAUAUUCACACUAUCCGAUCCGAUAUCGGAUGUAGGACCUAUAUCCAAUAGGUUUACAUAGGUAUAUAAAUGGCGCCAUCUUUGAUGUUUGCCUUUGACAUAAGAGUUUUUGUCGAGCUCCCGAUAUCUCGACGCAGUUGCAUGCAACAUGAUCACGGAAAACUGAAGAAGGCAGGUGGAUGUCAAACUUGCGUAGACAGCGCGCAAUCUACCCUCUUUCGCGCGCGCCGGCUGCGUUCUUUCAGUGGAGAAAAAGGGAGGCAUACAGACCUAUGAUCAUAUAUAGUGGACUGUCGGCCCAACAGGCCCCGUAGCCGAAUGGCACAAACGCUCACGAAACGAAACGCUCGUAGAUAUCUAUCUCUAUCG
Leguminivora glycinivorella is the source of this 1800-nucleotide long non-coding RNA. RefSeq lists it as uncharacterized. The record is from RefSeq and is a predicted model, not a curated record. NCBI's taxonomy places the organism in Eukaryota, Metazoa, Arthropoda, Insecta, Lepidoptera, Tortricidae. The transcript has 3 exons.